CCUACGGGGGGCUGCAGUAACGAAUAUUGGGCAAUGGGCGCAAGCCUGACCCAGCAAUGCCGCGUGCAGGAGGAAGUCCUUCGGGAUGUAAACUGCUGUCAGGGGUCAACAAGCAAAGGGACCUAAUACGUCCUGGCGUUGAGUCGCCCCAGAGGAAGCCUCGACUAACUCUGUGCCAGCAGUCGCGGUAAGACAGAGGAGGCAAGCGUUGUUCGGAAUCACUGGGCUUAAAGCGCGUGUAGGCGGCUUGGUAAGUGUCGUGUGAAAUCCCAUGGCUCAACCAUGGAACUGCACGGCAAACUACCUAGCUUGAGGUCGGUAGAGGUGCCUGGAACUCUAGGUGGAGCGGUGAAAUGCGUAGAUAUCUAGAGGAACGCCAGAAGCGAAAGCGGGGCACUGGGCCGAUUCUGACGCUGAGACGCGAAAGCGUGGGGAGCAAACAGGAUUAGAUACCCGAGUAGUC
RNAcentral lists this ribosomal RNA (463 nucleotides) under uncultured bacterium. Its description in RNAcentral is "bacterial SSU rRNA". It matches the Rfam family "Bacterial small subunit ribosomal RNA", at positions 338 to 795 of the family's 1533-position model. The record is from RNAcentral.